Molecule: RNA transcript, 2398 nt
Organism: Mizuhopecten yessoensis (Yesso scallop)
Lineage: Eukaryota; Metazoa; Mollusca; Bivalvia; Pectinida; Pectinidae
Gene name: heat shock protein 68-like
Exons: 1
Source: RefSeq, a predicted model, not a curated record
ACGUUCUAGAUUCCUAGAUAAUUCAAGAAAUAAUCAAUGGAGAGUAUAUAACCAUGGAUCAACCAGACUGUGGUCAGAAUCAGAAAAGAAUUCGUACAGUUCUACUUCAAAGUAACAGAGAACUGACAUUACACAAGGUGUGUAUAUAUCCAGCACACAGCUAGCGAGCGACAUAAAGCAACCGAUACUCUACUUUCGUUUUGACUCCACUUGAAGACAGACAUGGCAAGCUCACGUAAAGGACCAGCUAUUGGAAUAGAUCUCGGUACAACGUAUUCAUGUGUCGGAGUAUUCCAACAUGGAAAGGUGGAAAUAAUUGCCAAUGACCAGGGAAACAGGACUACGCCUAGUUAUGUGGCCUUUACAGACUCUGAGAGAUUAAUUGGGGACGCUGCCAAGGGACAAGUAGCCAUGAACCCACAAAACACUAUUUUUGAUGCAAAACGACUCAUCGGUCGAAAGUUUGAUGACCAGCAUGUCCAGUCGGACAUGAAACAUUGGCCGUUUAGGGUUGUCAAUAACGCAGGUAAACCAAAGAUUCAGGUGGACUGCAAAGGAGACACAAAUAAACAGUUCACACCAGAGGAAAUCAGUUCCAUGGUUCUAACUAAAAUGAAGGAGACGGCAGAAGCUUUCUUGGGUCACCCGGUCAAGGAUGCUGUGAUCACGGUGCCAGCCUACUUCAACGACUCUCAGAGACAGGCGACAAAGGACGCUGGUGUGAUUGCUGGACUUAACGUUCUCCGAAUUAUCAACGAACCGACGGCUGCGGCGCUGGCAUAUGGAUUGGACAAAAACCUCAAAGACGAGAAAAACGUUCUCAUCUUUGACCUGGGUGGAGGAACCUUUGAUGUGUCCAUUUUGACUAUCGAUGAGGGGUCGAUAUUCGAGGUGAGAUCUACUGCUGGUGACACACACUUGGGUGGUGAAGAUUUCGACAACAGAGUAGUCAAUCAUUUUGUACAGGAGUUCAAACGGAAACAUGGCAAAGACUUGAGUAAGAAUAGCAAGGCUUUGAGAAGGCUUCGAACUGCAUGUGAACGUGCCAAACGAACCCUUUCGAGCAACAGUGAGGCAAGUCUCGAAAUUGAUUCUCUGUUUGAGGGUAUUGACUUUUACAGUAAGCUCACGAGAGCUAGAUUCGAGGACUUGUGUGCCGACUUAUUCCGUGCUACUCUAGAACCUGUGGAAAAGGCACUUCGUGAUGCAAAGAUGGACAAAUCGAAAAUCCACGAGGUCGUCUUGGUUGGCGGAUCUACACGUAUACCAAAAAUACAAAAGAUGCUCGAAGAUUUCAUGAAUGGAAAACAGCUCAACAAAUCCAUCAACCCCGAUGAAGCUGUAGCGUACGGUGCCGCGGUUCAGGCUGCCGUGCUUACUGGCGACAGUAGUGACGUCAUCAAGGAUGUUCUUCUCGUGGACGUGGCGCCUUUGUCCCUCGGAAUAGAAACAGCUGGAGGUGUGAUGACAAAAUUGAUCGAAAGAAACACAAGGAUUCCAACAAAAACGUCACAGACAUUUACAACGAAUUCUGAUAACCAGCCUGGUGUUAGUAUUCAAGUGUUCGAGGGAGAACGAGUUAUGACAAAAGACAAUAACCAAAUGGGAAAGUUUGAACUAAACGGCAUCCCUCCUGCACCCCGAGGUGUUCCUCAGAUCGAAGUUCAGUUCGAUAUUGAUGCUAAUGGAAUACUCAAUGUGUCAGCCGAGGACAAAAGUACGGGGAAAUCCAACAAAAUCACCAUCACAAACGACAGGGGACGACUGAGCAAAGAAGACAUUGAGAAAAUGGUGGCCGACGCGGAAAGAUAUAAAGACGAAGACGAGAAACAGAGAAAAAGAGUUUCGGCCAGGAACCAACUCGAGAAUUACAUUUUUAGUGUCAAACAGGCCAUGGAAAACGCUGGUGACAAAGUUUCGUCGGAGGAAAAAUCAAUUGUCUGUAAGGGUUGUGAGGACAAUCUGAAGUGGUUGGACAGUAACACAAUGGCUGACGCGGAGGAAUACGAAUAUCAACUAAAUGAAUUCCAGAAACUGUGUUCACCAAUCAUGACCAAACUACACAGGGGUUCCGAACAGGGCAAUGGUGGGGCACCCCAUGGAGGCUGUGGCCAGGAGGCACAAUGAGGGGCAAGUACGGGCCCAACGGUGGAGGAAGUGUACUAAUGAACCGGAGUUGCAAUUACUGUUUGAACUUUAGUAAAAUGGAUAUUGAUGAAACAUGAAGUUAAGCCUUUGCAAUUGAAUUUUUUUAUUCUUGUUUUGAAAUAUUAACCAUUCAUCUUUGAAUAUUUAUUGGUCAAAUAAAUGUAUACUUUAUACAUAUAUUUGAUAUAUGUCAUGCUGUUUUGUACGCGUCACUUUACACGCGCAUCUUAUAAAUUGCCAAUGUUUAUAC